AUUGAACGCUGGCGGCGUGCCUAACACAUGCAAGUCGAGCGGUAACAGGUGUAGCAAUACAUGCUGACGAGCGGCGAACGGGUGAGUAAUGCUUUGGAAUCUUCCCAGUAGUGGGGAAUAACCAGUCGAAAGAUUGGCUAAUACCGCAUACGUCUGUAAAGGGAAAGCGGGGAGUCGCAAGACCUCGCGCUAUUGGAUGAGCCAAAGUACGGAUUAGCUAGUUGGGGGGUAAGUGGCCUACCAAGGCGACAAUCCGUAGCUGGUCUGAGAGGACGACCAGCCACACCGGAACUGAGACACGGUCCGGACUCCUACGGGA
This 319-nucleotide ribosomal RNA is filed under the name uncultured bacterium. RNAcentral's name for it is "bacterial SSU rRNA". It matches the Rfam family "Bacterial small subunit ribosomal RNA", at positions 30 to 346 of the family's 1533-position model. The record is from RNAcentral.